GAAUCCUGUACCAAAGAUGGUGAUAGUCCAGUAAUAAAAGAUUUUCUUAGUUUUUUCUAAUUGUCCCGAGUAGCAUGGGGUAUGUGGAAUACCGUGUAAAUCAACGAGGACCACCUCGUAAGACUAAAUACUCCUGAGUGACCGAUAGUGAAGUAGUACCGUCAGGGAAAGGUGAAAAGAACCCCUUUAGGGGAGUGAAAUAGAAUAUGAAACCUUAAGUUAACAAGAUGUAGGAGGGAAAAUUAAACCUGACUGCUUGCCUGUUGAAGAAUGAGCCGGCGACUUAUAAAUUGUGGCUUGAUUAAAGACUAAUAAAUUUUUCUGUAGUCAAAGCGAAAGCGAGUUUGAAUCAAAGCGUAUUAGUCACUGUUUAUAGACUCGAACCCGAGUGAUCUAACCAUGACCAGAGUGAAGCUUAGGUAAAACUGAGUGGAGGCUCGAACUGACCGAUGUUGAAAAAUCGGCAGAUGAGUUGUGGUUAGCGGAGAAAUUCCAAUCGAACUCGGAGCUAGCUAGUUCUCCCCGAAAUGUGUUGAGGCGCAGCGAUGAUUGAAGGAUUGUUGAUAGGGGUAAAGCACUGUUUCGGUGCGGGCUGUGAAAACGGUACCAAAUCGAUGCAAACUCAGAAUACUAUCCAUAUUUUCCAAUCAUUAGUGAGACUGUGGGGGAUAAGCUUCAUUGUCAAGAGGGAAACAACCCAGACCAUCGAUUAAGGCCCCUAAAUGAUUACUCAGUGAAAAAGGAGGUAAUAAUACCGAGACAACCAGAAGGUUUGCUUAGAAGCAGCAAUCCUUAAAAGAGUGCGUAAUAGCUCACUGGUUAAGUGUUGUUGCACCGAAAAUGAAUGGGACUAAGUAAUUCUGCCGAAUUCGUGGG
This 876-nucleotide ribosomal RNA is filed under the name Bigelowiella natans. RNAcentral's name for it is "partial Bacterial large subunit ribosomal RNA". It matches the Rfam family "Bacterial large subunit ribosomal RNA", at positions 345 to 1206 of the family's 2925-position model. Lineage: Eukaryota; Cercozoa; Chlorarachniophyceae. The record is from RNAcentral.